UUGAAAUUCAAACCAAACCUGAAAAAGUUGUCAGUCGCGUCCCAGGCGCUUCGGAGACGUCUCCGCUUCAACGCGAGACGUCUCGGCUACAAGAUUUUACUUUUGACGUUGUUUGGGGUCGACUCGGCGCUUUACGGGGGCGACUCCGAUGAUGAAUGGUUUGAAUCCUUGUUUUUCUGUUUAUCUGAGAGAGUCGUCUCUGUACUUUACCGGGACGUCUCGGCUUGUCUGCGCUUUUUGCAUGGGGACGACUCCGCUGUUUCGGGGACGACUCCGCCGUUAUAACUCCGAAAAACAUAUCUUCUGGAUUUCUCUGAGAGAGUCGACUCCGCUCUUUCAGGG
This 342-nucleotide long non-coding RNA is filed under the name Phoenix dactylifera (date palm). Its description in RNAcentral is "long non-coding RNA (PDAC_LNC013603)". Lineage: Eukaryota; Viridiplantae; Streptophyta; Magnoliopsida; Arecales; Arecaceae. The record is from RNAcentral.